RNA transcript from Cucurbita maxima (winter squash), 3330 nucleotides. It is a transcript of the gene named CSC1-like protein At4g35870, with no coding region annotated. Lineage: Eukaryota; Viridiplantae; Streptophyta; Magnoliopsida; Cucurbitales; Cucurbitaceae. The transcript is spliced from 2 exons. The record is from RefSeq and is a predicted model, not a curated record.
UGGAUCGAGUUAGCGUUUUGACCAAAGUUCCAGAUGUUCAAGGAAAAGAAAAAACUACGAUUUCAGAUUUUCCCCAAAGAAUUAACAUUUCAAUUUGGGAUUUCCAGUUCGAAUGCCAUUCCCGUAACACAAUCCUGUUCGUGAAUCGUGAUUGCUUCAAUUUUUCAAUUUCUACUCCCAGUACGAGGAGGAGGUGUCCAUCUGUAAAGUCGAAGGGGAGAUGAUUUGAUUCACAAGCCCUAAGGCCUUUAAAUUUCUUCGAAUUCGAGCUGUUAAUCGUCCGAAUUAAGGUAUCGAUGCGUUCUAUGAUUUAAUUUGUUGAUGCAGACCACUAUUUCCACGCGAAGAAUGUCGAAUUUGAUUGUGUGAACCUUCGAUUUCCACGUUCAGAGAUCCGACGAAGCUCGUACUCGAUGGUUCCUUUUAAAUCCUUCGUGAAUCAGUCUUCUUCUCCCUCUCCCUCUUCCGAUGACGGCGGGUCUGCAAGUGAUUUCACUUCGUGGUAUGGUAAUAUUCAAUACUUGUUGAAUAUUUCGAUCAUUGGUGCCUUCUCGUGCCUCUUCAUAUUUCUAUUUGUGAAGCUUAGAAGCGACCACCGUCGAAUUCCUGGUCCUUCUGGAUUGGUUACAAAGCUUCUUGCGGUGUGGCACGCGACUUGUCGGGAUAUUGCGCGCCAUUGUGGUGCCGAUGCCGCGCAGUUCCUUUUGAUAGAAGGCGGGAGCUGUGCGGUUCUACUAUUGAUUGCGAUUUUGUCGGUUUCAGUGUUGCUUCCGCUUAAUCUCUAUGCUGGACAGGCUGUAUUGAACGAUCAGUUCUCGAAGACUACGAUCAAUCACAUUGAGAAAGGUUCGGUUUUACUUUGGGUGCAUUUUGCUUUUAUGGUUGUUGUUGUUGUUUUUGUGCACUUUGGUAUUUCUGCCAUUGAAAAGAGGUUAAAGAUAACUAGAUUUAGAGAUGGGAAUGGGAAUUUAAGUGAUCCCGCUGCUGAUUCCACUGCCAUUUUCACUAUAAUGGUGGAAGGGAUUCCCAAAAGCCUAGAGGUUGAUAGGGCCGCGAUAUUAGAGUAUUUCCAGCAUAAGUAUCCUGGCAAGAUUUAUAGGGUCAUAAUGCCUAUGAAUUUGUGCGCUUUGGAUGAUUUGGCCACAGAAUUGGUCAAGGUUAGGGAAGAAAUAUCACAGUUGGUAGAACAAAUGCAUUCUCGUCUUGCACCCGAGGACGAAGACGAUGAAUUUAGAAGCGAUUGUUUGAAGGUUUUAUUUUGUUGGAUUCGUUGUGUUUGGAGGAGAGUAAAAGAUCUGUGGUGUCAGAUAAUAGACAAAUUUGGUUACACAAAUGAGGAGAGACUAAAACGGCUGCAAGAAUUGAGAGCCAACUUGGAAACUGAACUGGCUGCUUACAAGGAAGGGCGUGCACCUGGAGCUGGGGUUGCUUUUGUUAUGUUCAAGGAUAUCUAUGCUACCAAUAAAGCAGUUAUGGAUUUUCGAAAUGAAAGGAAGAGACGAAUUGGGAAAUUCUUUUCGGUCAUGGAGUUGCGUCUUCAAAGAAACCAAUGGAAAGUUGAUCGGGCACCGUUGGCGACUGAUAUUUACUGGAAUCAUUUGGGAUCAACAAAACUAUCAUUGAGACUUCGAAGAAUAUUUGUGAACACUUGCUUACUGUUAAUGCUUUUGUUCUUUAGCUCUCCUCUUGCUGUGAUCACGGCUGUUAAGAGUGCCGGGAGAAUUAUCAAUGCCGAAGUGAUGGAUAAUGCUCAGUCAUGGUUGGAUUGGGUGCAAAGUUCUAGCUGGAUUGGCAGUCUUAUCUUUCAAUUCCUGCCCAAUGUUAUCAUCUUCGUGAGUAUGUAUAUAAUAAUUCCAUCAGCUCUUUCUUAUCUUUCUAAGUUCGAACGACAUCUUACCGUAUCUGGGGAGCAGAGAGCUGCACUUUUGAAGAUGGUUUGCUUUUUCUUAGUAAACCUCAUCCUUCUGAGGGCUCUGGUUGAGUCAUCCUUAGAGAGUGCACUCCUUGGGAUGGGACAGUGUUAUUUGGAUAGUGAAGAUUGCAAGAGAAUUGAGCAGUACAUGAGUACAUCAUUCCUUUCAAGAUCAUGCCUUUCGUCCGUUGCUUUUUUAAUCACGAGUACGUUCUUGGGCAUAUCUUUUGACUUAUUGGCUCCAAUACCAUGGAUAAAGAAGAAGAUUCGAAGGUUUCGAAAGAACGACAUGCUCCAGCUGGUUCCUGAACAAAGUGAAGAGUACCCAUUUGAGUACCAGGAAAUAGAUAGUCUUGAGAGAUCAUUACUACCAGAUACCUCCCCUAGACUGAUCGAUAUGGAUAUGCAGGGACAAGAUCUUUCCGUUUAUCCCGUUAAUAGAACCUCAACUGCACCGAAACAGAAAUUUGAUUUUGCGCAAUAUUAUGCAUUCAAUUUAACAAUAUUUGCCCUCACCAUGAUAUAUUCUUCAUUUGCUCCACUGGUGGUUCCGAUCGGGACAGCAUACUUCGGAUAUAGAUAUGUUGUCGACAAGUACAACUUUCUAUUUGUUUAUAGAGUAGGUGGCUUUCCCGCCGGCAAUGAUGGGAAGUUGAUGGAUACAGUUCUUGGGAUUAUGCGAUUCUGCGUUGAUUUAUUCCUGCUCUCCAUGCUCUUGUUCUUCUCGGUAAACGGGGACUCAACGAAGCUGCAAGCGAUAUUCACACUUGGGUUGCUAGUUGUGUACAAACUAGUUCCUUCUUAUGAUGAUGGAUUUCAAAGAAUGCACUUGGAGGGCAUUCAAACAGUUGAUUCAGUUAUAGACGGACCCAUCGAUUAUGAGGUCUAUUCUCAACCUAAAUUUGACUGGGACACAUAUCAGCCAUGAUCUCGGCUUUGGCAUGCACUCACACUUACGUUAGCUGAAUUGUAUCUUGCACUCAAUUGGGACUGUGAAUUAUCUGUUGCUGGCUAGAAAUGCAUUCAUUUUCAACCCAUAAUUCUGCUCAGUUCUUGGGAUCGACAUAAAGAUGCACGCCAAGGGAGCCAGUCUCAUUCCUUAUGAUUAAAACACAUGGCCAGUAGCCAAAGCCUCUUUUUGAUUGACUGGUAGGUGCUGCAGCCGAGAUCUGAUGUUUUUUCUGUCAUUUUUAGACUACAAUUUUCUCUCUGGUAGUUGAGAUCUGUCAUUUCAUAUGCUAAAACAUUAGCAUUUCCGAAAAGAACAGAAAACAAUUAGUGUUGGGAUUUGUAUGUUUUAAAUACAGUUAGUUGUAAAUUGUUAACCAAGUUAGUUCGCACUUGUCGAUUCUACGGUUGAUUGAUUAUGUAAAUUGCAGAUUGGUUUAUUAGUACUUUGUAAAAUGUGCACUUUUCUA